AUGCUGUACACCAGGCCGGCCUCUCCUGCCGUACAAAUGUUCCUCAGCAGCACAUAGCACCUAUCGGGUCCAGGAGCCGGCUGUGCACAUCCCUGGACAGGAGCCCCUGACCGCGUCCAUGCUGGCUGCGGCACCCCUGCAUGAGCAAAAGCAGAUGAUUGAGGGUGUUCCACACAGGGGAGCGUCUCUACCCCCUUAUCCAUGAUGUCCACACCCAGCUGGCCGGCAAGAUCACGGGCAUGCUGCUGGAGAUUGACAACUCGGAGCUGUUGCUCAUGCUGGAGUCUCCAGAAUCACUCCAUGCCAAGAUAGACGAGGCAGUGGCCGUGCUGCAGGCACACCAGGCUAUGGAGCAGCCGAAGGCGUACGUGCACUGAAACCAGAAAAGGAAAUCCUUGCUUCCAUGGCUGCCAAAAGGACAGUGUUUCUGGCUCUCAGCCCU
RNAcentral lists this small RNA (442 nucleotides) under Pongo abelii (Sumatran orangutan). RNAcentral describes it as "processed transcript". Lineage: Eukaryota; Metazoa; Chordata; Mammalia; Primates; Hominidae. The record is from RNAcentral.